RNAcentral lists this long non-coding RNA (2178 nucleotides) under Marmota monax (woodchuck). Lineage: Eukaryota; Metazoa; Chordata; Mammalia; Rodentia; Sciuridae. The record is from RNAcentral.
AAGGCCACAGCACCGUCUCUUUAUUAUGUUCUAAUGUGUCCAGCCGCAGCUCAGCCCACUUAGUAUUUCAGGGAAAUUACAUUCGGAGGAUCGGUAAUUUCUGGGUAUGAUAAUAAGAUCGAAGCAAUUGUAUUUGGGUCUCUGACUCAAUAUGAGGAGGUCACCUUCUAUUUUCCAGUGACGGAUGGUUCCAGGCCUGCUAUUAUCUCAACCAGACGAAAGCGGAGUGUUUUAAUUGACCGGCACAUCCAUGUAGUGAUCAGCUAGGGACGGCUUCCUCCAUCUGACAAGAUUGAUUGCUUGGAGGGGGCAGGGAUGCGAGGCUGUAAUUUUCUCAGUUGGUCAAAUUCAUAGAAUGUACUUUCUUUUCAAAAAUGAUUACUAUUUAUUUUUCUAGGAAGAUAAUGCUGCAUCUCCUUUGGCAUGAGCAUCCUUUGUUCUUAAAAGUUACCUAAUGACUUGGCAGAGGAAUCCAGUCAUUUACUUGUCAGUGAAAUGCCACAAAUAAGGCCACAGCCCUGGCAUGAGACAAGGUGCCGUGACAUCACCGGCCAGCUUGUUCCCAGGCAAGGCGCUGCUCAGGCUGAAACACGGUCGGUUGGUGUGACCCAGGAAAGUAGCCUUGAGGUGGCCACCCCGGGUUCCCUUCUCAAUCAGAAAUCUACGCUGUAAGUGGGAAAACCGCCUUGCCAUUUAAUCCAAGUCUAAUGCUGCUCUUCAGUCUCUCAGGGGUUUACAAACCUUUCUCCUUCAGACUACAGCCAUUAUCUGGAUUGUCUCCCUGCCCAUCACCUGCCCCCUCCGACCAGGCACUCCGGCUCUGAGCUAGCCCCCGGGUGCCAGGCACUCUGCCAGGCCUCCUGCUACCCCUUUCACAGAACCCGAUCUGUACCUGACCACGAAAGGAGGGCUACUUCCCAGCUCCGCCCCCUGCCCAGGGGCGUCCUCCUCACUCAGGUCCACACCACCUGUUACCGGUGCUCUCGGAAUGACUAUCGCAAAUAGCAGAGACCACAUGGGGAGGACCCCAAAGCCUCCGAGAAUUUGCUUUGGACAAUGAUAGAUCAGUGAGUCCCAGAGAGUCAUGCAGACCCCGGGGACCCUGACCUCUUCCAAGAGGUUCAUAAGGCCAGCACUGUUUGUAGUGCAGACUGAUCUCAGGGCGAGGCGUGCUGGGCCAGCACUCCCCAGAGCUCACUGGGUGGACAAGCCCCUCGGGACGCAGAAGCAUGUGCCCUAGCACACAGCAGCCAGAGGCCCCAAGCAACUGUUGGACACCACCUGCCUCGACACAGAGAGCCAGAUUACGUAACAAUGAAGCAGUAGGGAGGACCAAGUCCCUGCACCCCUCUCCUCCAUACCCCUGUGCCCCAGGCCCCUUGGCCUCUAGGAAAGCCCUGGGGCUCCCAGGCAGAGCCCAUUUUUGCCUGGAAGGGCUCCUGGCACGCGGGUAUCCAGACGUGGGCAUCUGGCAGAUGUUUCCUUAGGAACAAGUUAAGGGAACUUCAAGGAAAGCCACGCUGCAUUUGAUGCCCAUGAUGAAAAGAGCCUUCAGCAAAAAUCGGUAUUUGAGGAAAUUCGUGUCUACCUCCGAGAGCCUGGCGGUGUCCACCGACUCUGAUGCAAUCAGUGUCGAGACUAAUGAACGUGAUCUUUGUAUUUGCAUAAUCGUGACAUAUGUCAGCAUUUGGGAGGUUUGAAUAAUUCAGGGAACCAGUACUUCCCAAAGGACCACGGUGUGAUGUCACAAAGCCAUGCCUGAGUGUCAGCUCCUGGCAGUGCCAGAUGGCCCCGAGGCUCACACGAGUGGACGUGGAGAGGUCCUGGGUGGGGCUGCAGAUGCCACUUUGCAAUUAACUUUAAAAAAGUGUCACUGUGGAGGCCGGGGGUGGCCCUGUGGAAAGCACUUGCCUGGCGUGUGGAGACCCUGGGAUCCACCCGGCACUUCGGGGAAACGGGAUUAAAGAAGAGAGGAGGGGGAAUAGUAUCCCUGCCUGAGUUUCAUGAACUCCAAGAAUAUUCAGUUUUCUACAAAGGCUAUUAAGACAUCCUCCUCGCCAGGUGCAGGGGCACACGCCUGUGAUCCCAGUGGCUCGGGAGGACGAGGCAAGAGGAUCAUGAGUUCAAAGCCACCCUCAGCAACUUAGCGAGACCCUGUCUCUAAACAAGAUAUAAAAA